RNAcentral lists this ribosomal RNA (406 nucleotides) under uncultured Clostridium sp. RNAcentral's name for it is "bacterial SSU rRNA". It matches the Rfam family "Bacterial small subunit ribosomal RNA", at positions 355 to 776 of the family's 1533-position model. The record is from RNAcentral. Lineage: Bacteria; Bacillati; Bacillota; Clostridia; Eubacteriales; Clostridiaceae.
UGGGGAAUAUUGCGCAAUGGGGGAAACCCUGACGCAGCAACGCCGCGUGAAGGAUGAAGGUUUUCGGAUUGUAAACUUCUUUGAUGAGGGACGAACAAAUGACGGUACCUCAAAAACAAGCCACGGCUAACUACGUGCCAGCAGCCGCGGUAAUACGUAGGUGGCGAGCGUUGUCCGGAAUUACUGGGUGUAAAGGGCGUGUAGGCGGGAACACAAGUCAGAUGUGAAAUACCGGGGCUUAACCUCGGGGCUGCAUCUGAAACUGUGUUUCUUGAGUGUCGGAGAGGAAAGUGGAAUUCCCAGUGUAGCGGUGAAAUGCGUAGAUAUUGGGAGGAACACCAGUGGCGAAGGCGACUUUCUGGACGAUAACUGACGCUGAGGCGCGAAAGCGUGGGGAGCAAACAGG